UACGGAGGGUGCAAGCGUUAAUCGGAAUUACUGGGCGUAAAGCGCACGCAGGUGGCUGAGUCAGUCGAUUGUGAAAGCCCUGGGCUUAACCUGGGAAUUGCAGUCGAUACUACUCGGCUCGAGUAUGGGAGAGGGCAGUGGAAUUCCCGGUGUAGCGGUGAAAUGCGUAGAUAUCGGGAGGAACAUCAGUGGCGAAGGCGGCUGCCUGGCCCAAUACUGACACUGAGGUGCGAAAGCGUGGGGAGCAAACAGG
Molecule: ribosomal RNA, 253 nt
Filed under: uncultured bacterium
Lineage: Bacteria
Description: partial 16S ribosomal RNA
Rfam family: Bacterial small subunit ribosomal RNA
Source: RNAcentral